Long non-coding RNA from Ictalurus punctatus (channel catfish), 444 nucleotides. RefSeq lists it as uncharacterized. The transcript is spliced from 3 exons. Lineage: Eukaryota; Metazoa; Chordata; Actinopteri; Siluriformes; Ictaluridae. The record is from RefSeq and is a predicted model, not a curated record.
CUAAGUUUACCAGAAAUUGUUUCCGCCGUUGCACUUUUCCAAGAGAUUGUGCGUCACAGGGGAAAUGUUUCAAGAGUGUCACAAACGACUCGUUCAGUGACCCGUUGUAAUGGAUUCCAUUUAAACUCCUCCUUUCAGAGAGCAUACUCUGGUCUGAUUUGUCAGAUGUCCCAUUCUGUUGUGAUUGGUCUACCCCUGUCAGCGUGAGGGGAGGAAACACCCACUACCAUAACAAGUUUCAGCUCCUUCUGUUCUCGAGCAGCCAAUGAAGACCAGAGCCACAGGAAGAAGGCAGAGACCCGUAAAAUGGGUUGGGGACUACCAGCACCUUCACUCACUCUGGGUGAGGAGCUGGCACUGUCCCUUAAUCAAGGUGGCAGUUCCAGGGGGCAGUUCAUCAGAGUCCGCUACCUCCCAUGAUAUUCUGGCUUGGUAAAAUGUAUG